AAUUGAGAGUUUGAUCCUGGCUCAGGACGAACGCUGGCGGCGUGCUUAACACAUGCAAGUCGAACGGAAAGGCCCUGCUUUUGUGGGGUGCUCGAGUGGCGAACGGGUGAGUAACACGUGGAUAACCUGCCUCAAGGCUGGGGAUAACAUUUGGAAACAGAUGCUAAUACCGAAUAAAACUUAGUAUCGCAUGAUACAAAGUUGAAAGGCGCUACGGCGUCACCUAGAGAUGGAUCCGCGGUGCAUUAGUUAGUUGGUGAGGUAGGGCUCACCAAGACCGUGA
Molecule: ribosomal RNA, 283 nt
Filed under: Prorocentrum minimum
Lineage: Eukaryota; Dinophyceae; Prorocentrales; Prorocentraceae
Description: partial Bacterial small subunit ribosomal RNA
Rfam family: Bacterial small subunit ribosomal RNA
Source: RNAcentral